UACGUAGGUGGCAAGCGUUGUCCGGAUUUAUUGGGCUUAAAGGGUGCGUAGGCGGCUUUGUAAGUCAGUGGUGAAAUAUGGCAGCUUAACUGUCAAGGUGCGAUUGAUACUGCAGAGCUUGAGUACAGAUGAGGUAGGCGGAAUUGACGGUGUAGCGGUGAAGUGCUUAGAUAUCGUCAAGAACACCUAUAGCGAAGGCAGCUUACUAGGCUGUAACUGACGCUGAGGCACGAAAGUGUGGGGAUCAAACAGG
This 253-nucleotide ribosomal RNA is filed under the name uncultured bacterium. Its description in RNAcentral is "partial 16S ribosomal RNA". It matches the Rfam family "Bacterial small subunit ribosomal RNA", at positions 524 to 776 of the family's 1533-position model. The record is from RNAcentral.